AACGAACGCUGGCGGCAUGCCUAACACAUGCAAGUCGAACGAGACCUUCGGGUCUAGUGGCGCACGGGUGCGUAACGCGUGGGAACCUGCCCUUAGGUUCGGAAUAACUCCCCGAAAGGGGUGCUAAUACCGGAUAAUGUCUUCGGACCAAAGAUUUAUCGCCUUUGGAUGGGCCCGCGUUGGAUUAGCUAGUUGGUAGGGUAAAAGCCUACCAAGGCGACGAUCCAUAGCCGGUCUGAGAGGAUGAUCAGCAACACUGGGACUGAGACACGGCCCAGACUCCUACGGGAAGCAGCAGUGGGGAAUAUUGGACAAUGGGCGAAAGCCUGAUCCAGCAAUGCCGCGUGAGUGAUGAAGGCCUUAGGGUUGUAAAGCUCUUUUACCCGGGAUGAUAAUGACAGUACCGGGAGAAUAAGCUCCGGCUAACUCCGUG
This 433-nucleotide ribosomal RNA is filed under the name uncultured bacterium. RNAcentral's name for it is "partial 16S ribosomal RNA". It matches the Rfam family "Bacterial small subunit ribosomal RNA", at positions 29 to 507 of the family's 1533-position model. The record is from RNAcentral.